UGGGGAAUAUUGCACAAUGGGGGAAACCCUGAUGCAGCGACGCCGCGUGAGCGAAGAAGGCUUUCGAGUCGUAAAGCUCUGUCCUAUGAGAAGAUAAUGACGGUAUCAUAGGAGGAAGCCCUGGCUAAAUACGUGCCAGCAGCCGCGGUAAUACGUAUGGGGCGAGCGUUGUCCGGAAUUAUUGGGCGUAAAGGGUACGUAGGUGGUUUUUUAAGUCAGGUGUCAAAGCGUGGAGCUUAACUCCAUUAAGCACUUGAAACUGAAAGACUUGAGUGAAGGAGAGGGAAGUGGAAUUCCUAGUGUAGCGGUGAAAUGCGUAGAUAUUAGGAGGAAUACCGGUGGCGAAGGCGACUUUCUGGACUUUUACUGACGCUCAGGUACGAAAGCGUGGGGAGCAAACAGG
Molecule: ribosomal RNA, 403 nt
Filed under: Verrucomicrobiota bacterium
Lineage: Bacteria; Pseudomonadati; Verrucomicrobiota
Description: Verrucomicrobia bacterium partial 16S ribosomal RNA
Rfam family: Bacterial small subunit ribosomal RNA
Source: RNAcentral